CGGAGGGUGCAAGCGUUAUCCGGAUUCACUGGGUUUAAAGGGUGCGUAGGCGGGUUGGUAAGUCCGUGGUGAAAUCCCCAAGCUUAACUUGGGAACUGCCGUGGAUACUAUCAACCUUGAAUGUCGUGGAGGUAAGCGGAAUAUGUCAUGUAGCGGUGAAAUGCUUAGAUAUGACAUAGAACACCAAUUGCGUAGGCAGCUUACUACACGAUAAUUGACGCUGAGGCACGAAAGCGUGGGGAGCAAACAGGAUUAGAUACCCUGGUAGUCCACGCCCUAAACGAUGGAUACUCGACAUCAGCGAUACACUGUUGGUGUCUGAGCGAAAGCAUUAAGUAUCCCACCUGGGAAGUACGAUCGCAAGAUUG
Molecule: ribosomal RNA, 368 nt
Filed under: uncultured organism
Description: bacterial SSU rRNA
Rfam family: Bacterial small subunit ribosomal RNA
Source: RNAcentral